UACGUAGGGGGCUAGCGUUGUCCGGAAUCAUUGGGCGUAAAGCGCGUGUAGGCGGUCCGGUAAGUCCGCUGUGAAAGUCGGGGGCUCAACCCUCGAAUGCCGGUGGAUACUGUCGGGCUAGAGUGCGGAAGAGGCGAGUGGAAGUUCCUGGUGUAGCGGUGAAAUGACGCAGAUAUCAGGAGGAACACCAAUUGCGAAGGCAGCUCGCUGGGACGUUACUGACGCUGGAGGAGCGAAAGCGUGGGGAGCAAACAGG
Molecule: ribosomal RNA, 256 nt
Filed under: uncultured bacterium
Lineage: Bacteria
Description: partial 16S ribosomal RNA
Rfam family: Bacterial small subunit ribosomal RNA
Source: RNAcentral